ACCAAGCAUGGUGUCACAUACCUGUAAUCCCAGCCCCUGAUAGUUGAUGAGGCAGGCUCAGGUGUUCUGUGCUGCAAUGGGGUAAGCCAAUCAGGUGUACAGACUAAGCUUAGCAUCAAUAUGGUGAUCCUCCACGGCCACCAUAUUGCCUAAGGAGGGGGCUAACCCAGGUUGGAAACAGAGCAGGUCAACACUCCUAUGGCAAUCAGUAGUGGGAUCAGUCUUAUGAGUAGCCCCUGUCCUUCUAGCCUGGGAGAGAAGGGAAGACACAGUCU
This 275-nucleotide non-coding RNA is filed under the name Phascolarctos cinereus (koala). The record is from RNAcentral. Lineage: Eukaryota; Metazoa; Chordata; Mammalia; Diprotodontia; Phascolarctidae.